UUUUCUUGUGUAUUGACAAUUGUGUCAGUAUUUAUAAUACCAUCCACCAGAGAUGUUCGCAAUAUCGUCUUGGCGACAUUACAUACAAGCACUUGUUCAGUGUACUGAUCCAUCUAAAGGAACAAAUAUGUGGCGAUUUUUAUUGACAAUUUUGUAAUGCACCUUUAAGGAAGGGAAAUUAUUUUUAAAUCGGAAUUUCAACAUAUCGACAGCAUGUCACAAUUCGUAAUAAAUAUUUUUAAAUUAUAGCUUCUUAUUUUCGUAACAAACUUUUUAAACACAAUGAAAUUUAAGGGAGCAAUGAAAAGAGUUUAUGCACUGUUUAAGCGGACAUUGUGCAUAUUUAAGCGGAUCGGAUGUUAAUGAAUAUUACAGUGCACAGUGAUUGCGUUUCAUGUAUGUAGUAUCGUGGGCAAAAGGCCUAGAUAUCGGCCGAACCAUAAACAAUGUCACGAGAGCCGCGGCAUCGUUGGGUCCAUCAAUGUGUCGUCGGUCUUUUCAAGUGAAUAGUUUCGUGGAAAAGGCCUGCAUGACCCUGGUCACGGCCGUUUGCAGAACACGUGCGCGAUAGAGCGGGAAAAGACAAAGGGAUGCUAAAGACAGUGUUAGUCAGUUGAGAAGUCGUGCAGUGUGAGUUGAGAAGCGAGAGCGAGCGAGUGCAGAAGCCGGAGAGUGUGAAUCGGGAAGUCGAGAGCCGAGUAUAAUAAUAAGAUGUGCGACAAUAUUGUAAUCAGUUUGUUGUUUUGAAUAUUAUUUAUUAAAUCAAAACAUCAUUACUUGUCCUUACCUCUAAAGACUCAUUUAGAUAUGUACAUGUAUUGUAUCUAUUAACACACAUUUGACGAAUUUUUGAACACGCAUCUAUAUUACUAUGAAACAAUCGAUACAGAAAAAUAUGCUGCACGUGCAACUGAAAGUGCCUAAACGUUUACAAGAAAUGCACAUAAUCUCCAAAAUUAGAAGCUUGAAAGAAAUUGUUGUAUUUAACAUCUGCAAUUACAGUGACAGAUCUGCAUAAUUGUAUUUAUUUUACAUCACGGAUUAUAGGAAAUGGUAUGGUGGAUUUCCAAACAAUUAAAAAAAAGAAGAACUAAGAACAAAAAUGAAUCUUUAUUAGCAAGAAAACGGAGAUCGUACAGCGCACCGUAUUCCAGCAGUUGGACAGUUGUAGGAAACGACUGCAAUACGUGCUUCGAAUCGAAUCGAAUACUAACGCCAGCUAUGAAUCACGAUUCACGAAAGACGUGCAACGCUCUUCCAUCAUCAAUUACAGUAAAUGGUCAAAGGGAUAAUGGCGCCAUAAGAAGGUAUGAAACUCCGGACACAUAUACACACAUACACACACAUACAUAGCAUAGAACAUAGAGUAAGCUAUGAUAUUCUUUCGCUUUACUUUUUACCUGUAAGUCGACAGGUUUAAGAGCUAAUGUACCAUUGAACGAGAAUCUCGAAUAAAAGACUAUAGCACAUUUUGGUGAAAGUUGGAUUAAUAGUACAGUAGAACUCCAUUUGUCUGAACGUAUCGGUGGUCAAACAGUUUAAAUCGAGGUUUAUACGAUAAGAGUCUACCAAUUCUCCUCACUACGUAUUAUGCUUCGUUCACAUAAUAGAAGCUCACGAUGCAAUAUAUUAGAUUCAACCAGUAAACGUUCGAUUAAUCAGGCGCUGAUUAAAAUUUUGUUCCAAUAAAAAUACUUCGGAUAUAUGGAUUUUAUCAUAAAGUAUGGUUCUACGAUUCUUAUCGAUCGUCUUAGUAAGUACAGAUUGCAGAUAUUUGGGUCAAAAGGCGACAUAAUAUCGAACACAGAAAACACGUUAAGUGUUAUGGAACAACGUAACUUGGAAACCGACUUUUCCUAAUGUUUCGAAGUUUCCAUUCAAUUCCUCUUGAAAAGUAUUACAGAAUCAUCUCUACGUCAUCAUAGUUUGCUUUUUUGUGACAUAAGUCGUCAACAUAAGUCGGUCAUAUGUCGUCAACUUUGAAGCCACUAUACUCUUCGUAGCUUGAGGUGCUCUCGAUAGCUUUAAAUGCCAAUAAUUAAAAAACAAAUAUCAAAUACAACUUUUAUUCUUCGUUUUUAUCUUAUUGUGGCUUUUAAAGACACUCGUUGAAUUUCCUACCAAUUGGUAUUAACGAACACUACUGGAUAAUACUGGAUCAACCGACCAAUCAGUUUCUUCUUUCCCAGUUCCUAUCUAAUUUAGUCGGGAUUAUACUUCGUACUAUCGAGAACAGCGAGGUUGAGGGCUGCGGUCUGUUUUCCAUUCUCGGAAAUGAAUUAAAAAGAAAUUCAAAUGAUACGCAUAUUGAGUGUCAUACGUAACGUGUAAAUGAAAUAUUGGGAUGAUGUUCUUCCGAAGUUUGAAAUCGAAAAGUUAAUACUGCUCGACACAUUAUAGUUUAGUCUGAAUUAUAUUGUUAACUAGAUUUAAAGCAAACAAUUAGCCGUUAUUACAAGUAAUUGAGAUAUUCGUCUGGUCUGUUCUUUUUGCAUAGCAGAAAAAUUGUGUUGCGAAAAAUGUUACUAAAAAUAGAAAUUUAAUGUUUGGAGAACUUUAUAUUUACAUUCGUCUGUCUGAAUUAUCCGAGACACUUAAAACACA
Bombus terrestris (buff-tailed bumblebee) is the source of this 2604-nucleotide long non-coding RNA. RefSeq lists it as uncharacterized. The record is from RefSeq and is a predicted model, not a curated record. The transcript is spliced from 2 exons. NCBI's taxonomy places the organism in Eukaryota, Metazoa, Arthropoda, Insecta, Hymenoptera, Apidae.